Molecule: ribosomal RNA, 142 nt
Filed under: uncultured Alphaproteobacteria bacterium
Lineage: Bacteria; Pseudomonadati; Pseudomonadota; Alphaproteobacteria
Description: partial 16S ribosomal RNA
Rfam family: Bacterial small subunit ribosomal RNA
Source: RNAcentral
AGCGUUGUUCGGAAUUACUGGGCGUAAAGCGCACGUAGGCGGAUUGCUAAGUCAGGGAUGAAAUCCUGGAGCUCAACUCCAGAACUGCCCUUGAUACUGGCAACCUCGAGUCCGGGAGAGGUGAGUGGAACUGCGAGUGUAG